GUCCCUUCCAACCCAACCAUUGUAGGAUCCCAAGGUUCUGUGAUCCUAAAGAUCCCUUCCAGCCCAACCAUUGGAGGAUCCCGUGGUUCCCCAAUCAUAAAGAUCCCUUGCAAUCCAAUCAUGGGGGAUCCUGUGGUUCCCUGAUCCUAAAGAUCCCUUCCAACCCAACCAUGGAGGAUCCCGUGGUUCCCCGAUCCUGAAUGUCCCCCCAACCCAACCAUUGGAGGAUCCCACGGUUCCCUGAUCCUAAAGGUCCCUUCCAACCCAAUCAUGGGGGACCCUGUGAUUUCCUGAUCCUAAAGGUCCCCCCAACCCAACCAUUGGAGGAUCCCAUGGUUCCCCGAUCCUAAAGGUCCCUUCCAACCCAACCAUGGAGGAUCCCAUGGUUCCCUGAUCCUAAAGGUCCAUUCCAACCCAAUCAUGGGGGAUCCCAUGGUUCCCUGAUCCUAAAGGUCCCUUCCAACCCAACCACUGAGGAUCCUGUGAUUCCCCGAUCCUAAAGGUCCCCCCAACCCAACCAUUGUAGGAUCCCAUGCUUCCCUGAUCCUAAAGGUCUCUUCCAACCCAAUCAUGGGGGAUCCCGGGGUUCCCCGAUCCUAAAGAUCCCUUCCAACCCAACCAUGGAGGAUCCCAUGGUUCCCUGAUCCUAAAGGUCCCCUGUGGUUCCCUGAUCCACAAGAUCCCCCAUGGUUGGGUUGGGGGGACCUUUAGGAUCGGGGAACCACGGGAUCCUACAAUGGUUGGGUUGGAAGGGACCUUUAGGAUCACAGAACCAUGGGAUCCUACAAUGGUUGGGUUGGGAUCCUAAAGGUCCCUUCCAACCCAAUCAUGGAGGAUCCCAUGGUUCCCUGAUCCUAAAGAUCCCUUCCAACCCAAUCAUGGAGGAUCCCAUGGUUCCCUGAUCCUAAAGGUCCCCUGUGAUUCCCUGAUCCACAAGAUCCCCCAUGGUUGGGUUGGGGGGACCUUUAGGAUCGGGGAACCACGGGAUCCCCCAUGAUUGGGUUGGAAGGGAUCCUAAAGGUCCCUUCAAUCCUGCAAUGGUUGGGUUGGAAGGCAUCCUAAAGGUCCCUUCCAACCCAACCACUGUAGGAUCCCAUGGUUCCCUGAUCCUAAAGGUCCCCUGUGAUUCCCUGAUCCACAAGAUCCCCCAUGGUUGGGUUGGAAGGGACCUUUAGGAUGCCUUCCAACCCAACCAUUGUAGGAUCCCAUGGUUCCCUGAUCCUAAAGAUCCCUUCCAACCCAACCAUGGAGGAUCCCGUGGUUCCCCGAUCCUGAAGGUCCCCCCAACCCAACCAUUGGAGGAUCCCAUGCUUCCCUGAUCCUAAAGGUCUCUUCCAACCCAAUCAUGGGGGAUCCCGGGGUUCCCCGAUCCUAAAAAUCCCUUCCAACCCAACCAUGGAGGAUCCCAUGGUUCCCUGAUCCUAAAGAUCCCUUCCAACCCAAUCAUGGGGGACCCUGUGAUUCCCAAUCCUAAAGAUCCCUUCCAACCCAACCAUGGAGGAUCCCAUGGUUCCCUGAUCCUAAAGGUCCCUUCCAACCCAACCAUGGAGGAUCCCAUGGUUCCCUGAUCCUAAAGGUCCCCCCAACCCAACCACUGUAGGAUCCCAUGGUUCCCCGAUCCUAAAAGUCCCUUCCAACCCAACCAUGGAGGAUCCCAUGGUUCCCUGAUCCUGAAGGUCCCUUCCAACCCAACUAUGGAGGAUCCCAUGGUUCCCCGAUCCUAAAGGUCCCUUCCAACCCAACCAUGGAGGAUCCCGUGGUUCCCCGAUCCUGAAGGUCCCCCCAACCCAACCAUUGGAGGAUCCCAUGCUUCCCUGAUCCUAAAGGUCUCUUCCAACCCAACCAUGGAGGAUCCCACGGUUCCCCGAUCCUAAAAGUCCCUUCCAACCCAACCAUUAUAGGAUCCCAUGGUUCCCUGAUCCUAAAGAUCCCUUCCAACCCAAUCAUGCAGGAUCCUGUGGUUCCCUGAUCCUAAAGGUCCCCCCAACCCAACCAUUGUAGGAUCCCAUGGUUCUGUGAUCCUAAAGAUCUCCCCAACCCAAUCAUGGAGGAUCCCAUGGUUCUGUGAUCCUAAAGAUCUCCCCAACCCAAUCAUGGAGGAUCCCAUGGUUCCCCGAUCCUGAAGGUCCCCCCAACCCAACCUCUGCAGGAUCCCAAGGUUUCGUGACCUUCAAGGCCUCUCCCACCUCGAUCCCUGUAGGAUCCCACAGCUCUGUGACCUUCGAUGUCCCGUCUCACCCAACCACUGCAGGAUCCCAUGGUUCCCUGAUCCUAAAGAUCUCUUCCAACCCAACCACUGGAGGAUCCCACGGCUCCACGAUCCCCAAGGUCCCCCAGCCACCCACCCUGGGAUCCCGUGGCCCUUUAAGAUCCCCUCCAAACCCAACCAUUCCCCAAUGCCGUGACAACGGAGACGCGAGGCCACGACCCACCGCAACCUGGGGGCACAGAACCCCCCCCCAGGGCAGGGAUUUGGGGUCCCAC
Lagopus muta (rock ptarmigan) is the source of this 2484-nucleotide long non-coding RNA. RefSeq lists it as uncharacterized. The transcript has 3 exons. The record is from RefSeq and is a predicted model, not a curated record. Lineage: Eukaryota; Metazoa; Chordata; Aves; Galliformes; Phasianidae.